UGAAGGAAAGUUGCAAAGAACUUUGAAGAGAGAAGUCAAGAAUACGUGGAACUGGUUAAGGGCCAACGGGUGGGCCCUUGAAGUUCGCGGGGAGAAGGAAUCAGUUUUGGGCGGCCGGCGAAGCCGUUGCCGGCGAACCCUGGGGUUGGGGUGUUGCCUUGGGGGAAUUGUUCUUCGUUGGCCGUGGCGCAAUUUUUUUUUCCGACGGACGCCGCAACCUUGGGGAAGUUGGCCGUAAGGAACAAAGUAAGUAGGUGGGGUUGGCGCCGGGUUAGCGCCGGACGCCCCGUGUUUGGCCUUGCAAGGAAGUUCCGGCGCGGCCUUCGCGAGAAGGAAAAACGUUCCCCCCACCGCGGGGGACUGGCCGUUGCCUCGCGUCAAGCGAGCGGCGGGAGGGUAUCAGGGACGCUGAGUGUUUUAUUCCGGACGUCACCGAGCGGUGUCGCCGGACUCGCGGUACCCGGUGGGUCCCCCCAUAGGCCGCGGCGCAGUAGGCAAGUAAGGCUUGCGGCGAGUAGGUCGGUAACCCACCCGACCCGUCUUGAAACACGGACCAAGGAGUCUAACAUGUGCGCGAGUCAGUGGGACUCGAAAAAGCCCACGGGCGCAAACGAAAGUGAACAGCCUAGUUUAUUGGGCGACAGUCGGGAUCCCCGUCGCGAUGCGGCGGAGGCGCACCGACGGCCUGGGUCACGCGCUCUAUUUACGCGCGGGCCCGGAGUCAGAGCGUACACGUUGGGACCCGAAAGAUGGUGAACUAUGCCCGGGCAGGUCGAAGCUAGAGGAAACUCUGGUGGAGGACCGCAGCGG
Molecule: ribosomal RNA, 810 nt
Filed under: Pholcus bicornutus
Lineage: Eukaryota; Metazoa; Arthropoda; Arachnida; Araneae; Pholcidae
Description: partial 28S ribosomal RNA
Rfam family: Eukaryotic large subunit ribosomal RNA
Source: RNAcentral